This 575-nucleotide unclassified non-coding RNA is filed under the name Hevea brasiliensis (rubber tree). Lineage: Eukaryota; Viridiplantae; Streptophyta; Magnoliopsida; Malpighiales; Euphorbiaceae. The record is from RNAcentral.
UUUUUUUUUUUUUUUUUUUGAAGGGGGGAAAAAAAAGGCAAGCUCAACUGGAUAGAGGAAGGAUUGUGAUAGGUUACUCAAGAAAAAUAAAAGAUUCCUUGAAUUUCAUUUGAUGCAAGUAUAUGAAAGAGGGCGCACCUUCUUCAAAAAACGAAGUUCAGUAUUUGUUCUUUCAUUCAAAAGAUCUUUUCCAUCCAGAAUCUGCACAAGAAGAACAAGCAUGAUAGAAUCAAGAAUGGUACUCUAAUGUGAAAAAAUGAGACGGUGGAAAGAGCAGCAGCAUUGUACUUGAAGAUCUACUGAUGAGUAUAAAGAAGUAUGGCAACGAUUUUGGUAAAAAAGAAAAACAAACCCUUUAUCAUACUACCUGUAAAUCAAAGAGCUUGAUAUUUUGCAAGCAACAGGGAAAAUUUUAGUUUGGGACCAAUUAAAAUAUGUUAUUUGUUAAAUAAAUUAAAAUUGACAAGAAAAUUUCUUACAAAAUUUAAUAUGUUAUUAUAAUUAAUUUAUAAUGGACAAAAUUAAAUACCUUAAUUUUCUUGUUAACAAAAUUAACUUGCUAAAAUUAAACAAAA